Molecule: ribosomal RNA, 489 nt
Filed under: Escherichia coli 5-366-08_S3_C2
Lineage: Bacteria; Pseudomonadati; Pseudomonadota; Gammaproteobacteria; Enterobacterales; Enterobacteriaceae
Description: partial 23S ribosomal RNA
Source: RNAcentral
UUCAGUAACAGAGCCGCUGCCCUGGAAGCUUCGGCAUGUAUUUGCGGCCUGUUCUUAACAGACCACAAAUAUAAUCUGGAUGUGUACAGUUAUAUUUACGCUGAACACGGUCCGCUCUGGAUUGACUGGUAAUUAUAAGGAAACACCAGCAGGGCCGAGGCGACCAACUGAACGAUUAAAAUCAAUAAUGCCAUUAUAAAGGACAUUAUUUAAUUUAUCGUCGAAUGCUGAUUCUGUGAGCCUCAACUCUGAAUGAGUUUUUAAUAACCCUGAUUGCCUGAGUUGAUUUACCAGGCAUUCAAUCUGUUUUUCAAUAAGCGGAUUUCUUUUUUUGUUUGGCAUUUUAUCCUCCAUUGAGGUUCUGGGUUAAAAAUGGAGACCAACACGCUGCCACGUGUGGUCGUGCGCCGGACACGGAUAAGAAUCCGGUACUGACAGUUUACUGAAAGGAUAUAUCCCUGAAAAGCCAGGGCAUAACGCGAAAGCGCA